UAUCUCUGUAGAGUCUGCAUAUCAAUAAGCGGAGGAAAAGAAACUAACAAGGAUUCCCUUAGUAACGGCGAGUGAAGCGGGAAGAGCUCAAAUUUGAAAUCUUCAAGGUUCUACCUUGACGAAUUGUAGUUUAAAGAAGUGUUUUCUGUUAGAUGAGUAGUAAAAGUUCCUUGGAAUAGGGACAUCAUAGAGGGUGAGAAUCCCGUAUUUGGACUAUUCAUUUCUAGCUUUGUGAUACACUUUCAAAGAGUCGGAUUGUUUGGGAAUGCAGUCCAAAAUGGGUGGUAAAUUUCAUCUAAAGCUAAAUAUUGGCGAGAGACCGAUAGCGAACAAGUACCGUGAGGGAAAGAUGAAAAGAACUUUGAAAAGAGAGUUAAACAGUACGUGAAAUUGUCAAAAGGGAAGCGUUUGACACCAGUGUUGUUUUUCCGAAAAUCAAUUAAAAAUUGAUUCAUGCCAGGUUGUAUUGACCUUAUCAGCUUGCAAUUUGGUUUUGGGUCUCUUUUUGAUGCACUUUUCGGUUAACAAGUCAACAUCAAUUUCCUUUGCUGUAAAAAGGUAAGAGGAAGGUGGCUUCAAUUUCGGUUGAAGUGUUUAUAGCCUUUUAUCUCUGCAGUCGGGGAGAUUGAGGUCUGCAGCGUAGAUCCUUCGGGGCUAGAUACAUUUAUGCUAAGUUAUAGCUUUUCAUAGACAACUUGUUGACUAUGUUUAGUCAUGUAGCUUACUCGUAAGUGCUAUUUUACCUACGCUUAGGAUGUUGAAGACUCUACAGAGAUA
This 777-nucleotide ribosomal RNA is filed under the name uncultured Neocallimastigales. RNAcentral describes it as "partial large subunit ribosomal RNA". It matches the Rfam family "Eukaryotic large subunit ribosomal RNA", at positions 24 to 642 of the family's 3401-position model. Lineage: Eukaryota; Fungi; Neocallimastigomycota; Neocallimastigomycetes; Neocallimastigales. The record is from RNAcentral.